This is an RNA transcript of Manacus vitellinus (golden-collared manakin), 1059 nucleotides long. RefSeq lists it as uncharacterized. NCBI's taxonomy places the organism in Eukaryota, Metazoa, Chordata, Aves, Passeriformes, Pipridae. The transcript is spliced from 2 exons. The record is from RefSeq and is a predicted model, not a curated record.
CUGCGCAUAUCGAGAGCCUUCAGGAGAAGUCACAGUGCGCGCUAGAGGAGUACGUGCGGAGCCAGUACCCCAACCAGCCCAGCCGCUUCGGGAAGCUGCUGCUGCGGCUGCCCUCCCUGCGCACCGUCUCCUCCUCCGUCAUCGAGCAGCUCUUCUUCGUCCGCUUGUGCUCCUAGAGCCCAUUCCGCAUCCCCGGCAGAGAGGCGGCGGAGCGGCGGAGACGGGAGCGCUCGCACCGAGGGGCAGUCGGGGUGCGGGGGGGGGCCCGGGAGGUGGACACUGAACAAAAGAAAGGGCCAAGUGAGAGCAGAGAUGUGGCCGUGUAGGGGAGAAGAACGGACCUCUCGUCCGUGGAGGUUGUGGUGUUUCGCUUUUUCUUUUUUUUUUUUUUCAUUUGGCCUAUUUUUUUUUUUUUUGAGAGGAGGAAAAAAGAAAUAAAUAAUAUUAAUAAAGGAGACAAAAAAAAAAAAAAAGAAAAAUUAAAAAAAAAAUGAGUAUUGAGGGGAUAUUAAUCAAACCUGAAGGGGAUACUGGAUCUUCCAGGAUUUAUUGUGGACUGUUGCUGAUAUAUGCUGUACAGUAAACCAACAAAACAAAAAAUCAUUGAAACUGAACUGAACCUUGUGUAGAAUGAAAAAAAAAAACAACUCAAAAGAAGUAAACAAAGAAAAAAAUUCUACGCGCAAACACUUACCACGAACAUUGUUACUCAUUUUGUAAUAUAUUAGUCUUUAUUUUCAUUUUUGGUAAAAGUUAAAACAUCAUAUGCGCAUAAAGAAAAAAAAGAAAGGAGAAUUAGGGGAAAAUAACAUUUUCCAAAUAAUUAUAAAAAAAUUGUCCUGUGUCUAUGUAUCUAUAUCUGUUUUGUAUUUUUUUCUGGUUCCAAACCAGGUUUCCUGUGAUUCUAUACUAAUAAUUUUUUGAUAUAACCCUUUGCUUCUUAUAACGAGUGCGAUAUAUGUUGUCAAAAUUGUUCUUCAAGAAUUAAAAUUGAAGUGAGAAUUUAAACAAAAAAAUAAAAGAAUUUAGCAAACUCCCCCCUACUUAUCACCCCACAAA